This 510-nucleotide ribosomal RNA is filed under the name uncultured bacterium. RNAcentral's name for it is "partial 16S ribosomal RNA". It matches the Rfam family "Bacterial small subunit ribosomal RNA", at positions 28 to 507 of the family's 1533-position model. The record is from RNAcentral.
GACGAACGCUGGCGGCGUGCUUAACACAUGCAAGUCGAACGAAGAGCCACGGAAGCUUGCUUCUAUCAAUCUUAGUGGCGAACGGGUGAGUAACGCGUAAUCAACCUUCCCUUCAGAGGGGGACAACAGUAGGAAACGACUGCUCAUACCACAUACUACCUAACCUCGGCAUGGAGUAGAGAGGAACGGUGGCCGCGACAGGUAUGCUAGCAUAUAAGCAGGUGAUUGCGGCAGAUUAGCUAGAUGGCGGGGUAAGGGCCCAUCAAGGCGAGGAUCAGUAGCCGGACUGAGAGGAUGAACGGCCACACUGGGACGGUGACCGGGCACAGACGCCUACGGGAGGCAGCCGGGGGGAAUCUUCCGGAAUGGGCGGAAGUCUUACGGAGAAACGCCGAGGGCGGGAUGACGGCCGUCGGGUUGGAAAGCUCGGUUUAUCGGGACGAAACGCCUUCUUGCGAAUAGUGAGAAGGAUUGACGGUACCGGAAUAGAAAGCCACGGCUAACUACGUG